RNAcentral lists this ribosomal RNA (433 nucleotides) under uncultured bacterium. RNAcentral's name for it is "partial 16S ribosomal RNA". It matches the Rfam family "Bacterial small subunit ribosomal RNA", at positions 29 to 507 of the family's 1533-position model. The record is from RNAcentral.
AACGAAAGAGGGAGGAAUGAAUAACACAUGCAAGUCGAACGAGACCUUCGGGUCUAGUGGCGCACGGGUGCGUAACGCGUGGGAACCUGCCCUUAGGUUCGGAAUAACUCCCCGAAAGGGGUGCUAAUACCGGAUAAUGUCUUCGGACCAAAGAUUUAUCGCCUUUGGAUGGGCCCGCGUUGGAUUAGCUAGUUGGUAGGGUAAAAGCCUACCAAGGCGACGAUCCAUAGCUGGUCUGAGAGGAUGAUCAGCCACACUGGGACUGAGACACGGCCCAGACUCCUACGGGAGGCAGCAGUGGGGAAUAUUGGACAAUGGGCGAAAGCCUGAUCCAGCAAUGCCGCGUGAGUGAUGAAGGCCUUAGGGUUGUAAAGCUCUUUUACCCGGGAUGAUAAUGACAGUACCGGGAGAAUAAGCUCCGGCUAACUCCGUG